RNAcentral lists this ribosomal RNA (406 nucleotides) under uncultured bacterium. RNAcentral describes it as "partial 16S ribosomal RNA". It matches the Rfam family "Bacterial small subunit ribosomal RNA", at positions 30 to 526 of the family's 1533-position model. The record is from RNAcentral.
AUUGAACGCUGGCGGCAGGCCUAACACAUGCAAGUCGAACGAGUGGCGGACGGGUGAGUAAUGUCUGGGAAACUGCCUGAUGGAGGGGGAUAACUACUGGAAACGGUAGCUAAUACCGCAUACCAUCAGAUGUGCCCAGAUGGGAUUAGCUUGUUGGUGGGGUAACGGCUCACAAAGGCGACGAUCCCUCGCUGGUCUGAGAGGAUGACCAGCCACACUGGAAGUGAGAAACGUGCCGGACUCCUACGGGAGGCAGCAGUGGGGAAUAUUGGACAAUGGGGGCAAGCCUGAUGCGGCCAUGCCGGGGGUAUGAAGAAGGCCUUCGGGUUGUAAAGUACUUUCAGCGGGGAGGCGUUACCCGAAGAAGAAGCACCGGCUAACUCCGUGCCAGCAGCCGCGGUAAUUC